Molecule: long non-coding RNA, 5591 nt
Organism: Ruditapes philippinarum (Manila clam)
Lineage: Eukaryota; Metazoa; Mollusca; Bivalvia; Venerida; Veneridae
Exons: 2
Source: RefSeq, a predicted model, not a curated record
AUAUAUUAAUACCAGUUAAAUGAUAUAUAGGACAAGGAAAUGGUAUAUAUAAAUACCAGUUAAAUGAUAUAUAGGACAAGGGAAUGGUAUAUAUAAAUACCAGUUAUAUGAUAUAUAGGACAAGGGAAUGGCAUAUAUAAAUACCAGUUAAAUGAUAUAUAGGACAAGGGAAUGGUAUAUAUCAAAACGAGUUAUAUGAUAUAUAGGACAAGAAAAUGGUAUAUAUCAAUACCAGUUAUAUGAUAUAUAGGACAAGGGAAUGGUAUAUAUCAAUACCAAUUAUAUGACAUUUAGGACAAUGUAAUGGUAUAUAUAAAUACCAGUUAUAUGAUAUAUAGGACAAUGGAAUGGUAUAUAUAAAUACCUGUUAGAUGAUAUAUAGGACAAGUAAAUUGUUUCAUUGAGAUGAGGACCAUUUACUUGUUAUAUUUUAGAAAUUCCUUCUUUGAUUGUUUUAUAUUGUAAAGAUUGUAAAAAAUUACAAAUUGUAAUUAUGGAAAACCAUAAAUGUGUACAAGUUAAUACUGUUAGUCAGUAUUAUUCAAACAGUAUCGUUAAAGGGACUCCACUGAGGAUAGUAUUUUCUUAAUUUAUUGACAUGAUAGGACGGGAGUUAUGUUGUUGAGGUUUCAUACUAUUUGAAGAAGAUAUAUUAUUUUUAUGUAUGCAAAAUUUCAGAUUAUUUGCUCACUUUGUUUUACCAAAAUAUUAGUAAUCAUUUUAACUCGACUAUUCAAUGAAUAGCUAAUGCUAUAAUAGUACUUACCCCCAUUGGCGUCAAACUUAGGUUACUUUUAUGUGUGCAAGUUGGUAUCUAAAAAACUACUGAAUAAAAAUUUCAAUUGACAUUCUUGUUCUUUAACAUGACUAACACAAAUCCCAUACCUCUGAUAUUUUUUCCUCAUUUUUAUGCCCCUUUUACGACUUAAAAAAUCUUGGUUAAGUUUUUUACUUAUAAGAGUAGGUUAGAACUUCACACACAUAAAUGAGAGUAAUAGGAAGUCACUGUCCGAGCACAUAGAUAUUUGACAGAAUUAUUUCCCUUUUUAAAGUUAGAAAAUUCUGCAUUAUCCAUCACUGUGGAUAGUCAAUCACAAUGUCCUGUCGACAGUGUUUAAAUGUUUAAAGCUUAAGACCGUCUGAAAAUUACACUUCAAUAAUAUCGAUUUUAAAUCUUAUUCUGGGUAUUUUUCAUUAGUAUCAUUUUAUUUUUCCGUAUUGAAUACCCCGAUUAAUCUGUUUUAGAUUUUCUAUUUUUGUUCUUUUUUGUUUGGCUUUUGGACCUCAGUGGAGCUCCUUUAAGUGAACUCUUUGUUGUUUAUGUUAGUAUGAUAAAUUUAAACACUAGGCAAGUAUAGAUAUUCCUUGCUGUAAAUUCAUAUGUACUAGUAUAUACUGUAACUACAUAGUCAGUAAAACAUAAUUUUUAAUCAAAACAUGUUAUACACCAUAGAUGUAAAUAUGAUUUCAUUAUACCUUCAUACAUAUCCUCAAUUUAAAUGUACAAUUGAGAUAAAAAUAUACAUGGCUGUCAGGUGCAAGUGCUUAAAUUUGACUCUUCAACAUUUUUGAUUGCUUUAAUGCUUUGAGAUAGUAAUGAUAUAAAUACAUCUUAUUAACUGUAUGUUAGUUUUGUUAUGCUUGCUGAUGUAAGUAUAUACCAAUGCUAUAUAUAAACAUAUGUUGAUGUCUGUUUGUUAUAUGCAAUUCUGAUUAAUGUAUCUAGUACAUAUGUAAACAUAUUAUUACAUGUUAAUAAAUGUUUAUUGUAUAAUUACAAGCUACUGCAAUCCUUUUACGAAAAAAAGAUUACAUUAUUUUAUAACAAGAAAUGUUAUGUGACAUGUAACUAUACAUACAUUUUAAACAGUUAUACCUGUUUGUUGUAAAGGCCCAUUAAGCCUUAAAAAUGCAAUCACUUUUAUUUUUAAAAACUUUCAUUUUUUUGUGCAAAAAGUUUCUAAUUGGCCAUCUUAGCCUUUUUGUAUGCCCGAAAGGGCAUAUUAUGUUAUACCCCCUGGCGUCCGUCCGUCCGUCCGUUAGCAAUUUGUCCGUUAGCAAUUUGGUUUCCGGAGCAUAACUUAAGUUCCAUUUGGCCCCCAAUGUUCAAACUUCAUAGGAUGAUUGUCCAUAUUGGGUAGAUGACCCCUAUUGAUUUUGGUGUCAAAAGGUCAAAGGUCAAGGUCACUAUUACCUUGAUACUGAAAACAGUUUCCGUCCGUUAGCAAUUUGGUUUCCGGAGCAUAACUUAAGUUCCAUCUGGCCCAUAAUGUUCAAACUUCAUAGGAUGAUUGUCCAUAUUGGGUAGAAGACCCCUAUUGAUUUUGGGGUCAAAAGGUCAAAGGUCAAGGUCACUAUUACCUUAAAACUGAAAACAAUUUCCGGAGCCUAACUUAAGUUCCAUUUGACCCACAAUUAUCAAACUUCAUAGGAUGAUUGUCCAUAUUGGGUAGAAGACCCCUAUUGAUUUUGGGGUCAAAAGGUCAAAGGUCAAGGUCACUAUUACCUUGAUACUGAAAAUAGUUUCCGUCUGUUAGCAAUUUGUCCGUUAGCAAUUUGGUUUCCGGAGCAUAACUUAAGUUCCAUUUGGCCCACAAUGUUCAAACUUCAUAGGAUGAUUGUCCAUAUUGGGUAGAAGACCCCUAUUGAUUUUGGGGUCACAAGGUUAAAGGUCACUAUUACCUUGAAACUGAAAACAGUUUCCGGAUCAUAACUUAAGUCCAUUUGACCCACAAUGUUCAAACUUCAUAGGAUGAUUGUUCAUAUUGGGUAGAAAGACCCCUAUUGAUUUUGGGGUCACAAGGUCAAAGGUCAAGGUCACUAUUACCUUGAUACAGAAAACAGUUUCCGGAGCAUAACUUAAGUUCCAUUUGACUCACAAUGUUCAAACUUCAUAUAGUUAAUUGUCCAUAUAAGGUAGAAGACCCCUAUUGAUUUUGGGGUCAAAAGGUCAAAGGUCAAGUCACUAUUACCUUGAUACUGAAAACAGUUUCCGGAGCAUAACUUAAGUUCCAUUUGACCCAUAUAUUCAAACUUCAUAGGAUGAUUGUCCAUAUAAGGUAGAAGACCCCUAUUGAUUUUAGGGUCACAAGGUCAAAGGUUAAGGUUAAGGACUUAAGUAUUAAUCAACCUACAUAUGUAAAAUUUUAUAGGAUGAACAGCUAAUUCCCAUGUCUAAUGAAUGCUUCAUCCUUACUAAAAAAAACACUUUCUGGCAUAUAAUGCUCCGCCUAGCGGUGCUCUUGUUUUAGUUUCAUUGCAAUUUGGCAACAAGAACAUUAUGAUAGAUAAGUAUUUUAUAUGGAUGUGAAAUAACCAUUUUGUUUACAAUUUGCUACACUUAUUAUAUUUAUACCCCCGAAGGAUGUGAAAUAACCAUUUUGUUUACAGUUUGCUACACUUAUUAUAUUUAUACCCCCGAAACGAAGUUUGGGGGUAUAUUGGAGUCACUCGGUUGGUCGGUCCAGCGGUCCGUACAUUUUCCUUGUCCGGAGCAUAACUUGAAGACUAAUGGUUAGAAUUCAAUACAACUUCAUACAAUUGUCAAGCACAUUGAUAGGAAGUGCAGUGCACAAAGACCAUAAAUCCAUCUUCACUAACUACAGAGUUAUUGCCCUUUGUUACUUUUCAAUUGCUUCGUUUUGUCCGGACCAUAACUUGAAGACUAAUGGUUGAAAUUCAUUAUAACUUUAUACAAUGGUCAACCACAUUAAGAGGAAGUGCAGAGCACAAGAACCAUAACUCCAUCUUCACUAGUUACAGAGUUAUUGCCCAUUGUUACUUUUUCUUGUCCAGAGCAUAACUUAUAAAGUUCUGGUUGGAAUUCAAAACAACUUCAUACAAUGGUCAAGCACAAUAUGAGAAAGUGCAGUGUACAAGAACCAUAACUCUGUCCAGAGUAAUGACGAUAGAGUUAUUGCCCUUUGUUACUUUUCCAUUGCUUUUUUCUUGUCCAGAGCAUAACUUGAAAACUACUAGUUGGUAUUCAAUACAACUUCAUACAAUGGCCAAUUAUUUUGAGAGAACAAAAAUCAUAACUCUUUCUUGACUCAUUUAAGAGUUUUUGCCCUUUGUUACUUUUUAUUUUCCAGUGUAUAAAAUGAAAAUUAAUGGUUGGAAUUCAAAGAAACUUCAUAAAAUGGUCAAGGGCAGUGAGAUGAAGUGCAGUGCACAAGAACCAUUUCUCUAUUUUUACUAAUUACAGUUAUUGCCCAUUGUUUUUUGUGUUUUUUUUUUGUCCAGUGCAUAACUUGAAAACUAGUAGUUGGAAUUCAAUACAACCUUAUGCAAUGGUCAAGCGCAAUGAGAGAAAGUGCAGAGUACAAUAACCAUGAUUUCAUCUUCAGUAUUUGUAAAGUUAUUGCCCUUUGUUCCUUUUCCUUGUCAGGUGCAUAACUUACAAACUAAUGUUUAGAAUUCAGUGAAACUUCAUUCAAUGGUCAAGUGCAAUGAGAGGAAAGUGAAGUGCUCAAGAAGUGUAACUCUUUUGGACUUAUUACAUAGUAAUUCAAUUAAACUUCAUUAAUGGUUAACCGCAUUGGAAAAGGAAAUGCAACAUACAAAAACUACAACUAUCUUUAAUAACCCACAAUCAAACAUCUAUUUAAGUUCUUUUGCAAGGUAUUGUGUUACUGGUAACUUCCUUAUUUCCGAAGCAGUCUUGCAGGGGUAUUAAUCAUAUUUAGUGAUAGUUCUAGUUUCUUUUCAAACUCAUUUUUGUAAGGUGUUUAGAAUAUCACAUGUUGUAAAUCUUUUAUUACAACAUUAUAAAACCCAUGUUUGCCCUUUUUAACAAAAAAAUAAUAUUCAUUUCUGAGAAGUAAUGUGCCUUUAAACUUUGAAUGUAUAUUAUAGUGUAAAUUCAUUUAUACUAAGUAUGAUAACAUGAAAAUCAUGUUAUGAAUUGUUUACUAGGUAUUUGAAUUUAUGUGUAUUUUAUGCUUAUAUUUGUAACCCUCAUGAUGGCAAAACUAUAUUGGCCAUGUUUAUACUUAAACAGUUCUAUAUGAAGUAAAGAUAAGUUCAUGCUGGAAUAUUUUAUGUCAAAUGUACAUAUGCUUAUGGUAUUAAACAUGACUGUUUAAAACUUGAAAUGUUCAUAGAAAACAAUAUUCAGCUAUUUUGUUAGCAUCAAUAAAAACUUGUCUGAAAGAACUAAACAAUAGUGAAACUUUUUGAAACAAUUCUAUUCAUUUUAUAUAGCACUUUUUAAGUUUAUUAUAAGUAGCUGGUUUUAUUGAAGAAUUAUAAGAAGAUAUCAGGCAGUGGUUGACCAACAUUUUGUAUAAUAAAUAACAUGUCUAGAACAUUAUGUAUUUUAUAAGGUUAAACAAUUUAAAUUCAGAAUGGAUACACCAGAUCCAUAUUUAUUGAAUUUAUCCAACAAUGGUGACAUGUAUAUCAGUAUAGAGAAAUGUCAACAAAAUGUUGGCAAUAUAUAACAUUUAUAUCUGGUCAUAUAACCUUUAUGAGAGCAUUGUUAUUCUGCUGCUUUUGUUAUAAAUGUAAUACUUUAAAUAGUAAAAUAUAUCUUUUUGAUUGGUUCUGAUAGCAUGUAUGUGUGACUUUUCAUAAUAAAGAAUUGUACAAAA